GAUGAACGCUGGCGGCGUGCCUAAUACAUGCAAGUCGAGCGAACAGAUGAGGAGCUUGCUCCUCUGACGUUAGCGGCGGACGGGUGAGUAACACGUGGAUAACCUACCUAUAAGACUGGGAUAACUUCGGGAAACCGGAGCUAAUACCGGAUAAUAUAUUGAACCGCAUGGUUCAAUAGUGAAAGACGGUUUUGCUGUCACUUAUAGAUGGAUCCGCGCCGCAUUAGCUAGUUGGUAAGGUAACGGCUUACCAAGGCAACGAUGCGUAGCCGACCUGAGAGGGUGAUCGGCCACACUGGAACUGAGACACGGUCCAGACUCCUACGGGAGGCAGCAGUAGGGAAUCUUCCGCAAUGGGCGAAAGCUUGACGGAGCAACGCCGCGUGUGUGAUGAAGGUCUUCGGAUCGUAAAACUCUGUUAUUAGGGAAGAACAAAUGUGUAAGUAACUAUGCACGUCUUGACGGUACCUAAUCAGAAAGCCACGGCUAACUACGUG
RNAcentral lists this ribosomal RNA (497 nucleotides) under uncultured bacterium. Its description in RNAcentral is "partial 16S ribosomal RNA". It matches the Rfam family "Bacterial small subunit ribosomal RNA", at positions 28 to 507 of the family's 1533-position model. The record is from RNAcentral.